RNAcentral lists this ribosomal RNA (433 nucleotides) under uncultured bacterium. RNAcentral describes it as "partial 16S ribosomal RNA". It matches the Rfam family "Bacterial small subunit ribosomal RNA", at positions 29 to 507 of the family's 1533-position model. The record is from RNAcentral.
AACGAACGCUGGCGGCAUGCCUAACACAUGCAAGUCGAACGAGACCUUCGGGUCUAGUUGCGCACGGGUGCGUAACGCGUGGGAACCUGCCCUUAGGUUCGGAAUAACUCCCCGAAAGGGGUGCUAAUACCGGAUAAUUUCUUCGGACCAAAGAUUUAUCGCCUUUGGAUGGGCCCGCGUUGGAUUAGCUAGUUGGUAGGGUAAAAGCCUACCAAGGCUACGAUCCAUAGCUGGUCUGAGAGGAUGAUCAGCCACACUGGGACUGAGACACGGCCCAGAAUACUACGGGAGGCAGCAGUGGGGAAUAUUGGAAAAUGGGCGAAAGCCUGAUCCAGCAAUGCCGCGUGAGUGAUGAAGGCGUGAGGGUUGUAAAGCUCUUUUACCCGGGAUGAUAAUGACAGUACCGGGAGAAUAAGCUCCGGCUAACUCCGUG